AAAGGGUAGCAAUACCUGAGUAAAGUGGCGCACGGGUGAGUAACACGUUGACUAACCUACCCUGGAGUGGGGGAUAACUGAGGGAAACCUUAGCUAAUACCGCAUAAUACCCACGGGUCAAAGGAGCAAUUCGCUUCAGGAGGGGGUCGCGGCCGAUUAGUUAGUUGGCGGGGUAAUGGCCCACCAAGACGAUGAUCGGUAUCCGGCCUGAGAGGGCGCACGGACACACUGGAACUGAAACACGGUCCAGACUCCUACGGGAGGCAGCAGUGGGGAAUUUUGCGCAAUGGGGGAAACCCUGACGCAGCAACGCCGCGUGGAGGAUGAAGUACUUCGGUACGUAAACUCCUUUCGAUCGGGACGAUAAUGACGGUACCGAGAGAAGAAGCCCCGGCUAACUUCGUGCCAGCAGCCGCGGUAAUACGAGGGGGGCGAGCGUUGUUCGGAAUUAUUGGGCGUAAAGGGUGCGUAGGCGGUUUGGUAAGUCUGAUGUGAAAUCUAUGGGCUCAACUCAUAGUCUGCAUCGGAAACUGCCGGGCUUGAGUGUGGGAGAGGUGAGUGGAAUUUCCGGUGUAGCGGUGAAAUGCGUAGAUAUCGGAAGGAACACCUGUGGCGAAAGCGGCUCACUGGACCACAACUGACGCUGAUGCACGAAAGCUAGGGGAGCAAACAGGAUUAGAUACCCUGGUAGUCCUAGCCCUAAACGAUGACUGCUUGGUGUGACGGGUACCCAAUCCCGCCGUGCCGUAGCUAACGCGUUAAGCAGUCCGCCUGGGGAGUACGGU
This 785-nucleotide ribosomal RNA is filed under the name uncultured Pseudomonadota bacterium. Its description in RNAcentral is "bacterial SSU rRNA". It matches the Rfam family "Bacterial small subunit ribosomal RNA", at positions 71 to 886 of the family's 1533-position model. Lineage: Bacteria; Pseudomonadati; Pseudomonadota. The record is from RNAcentral.